AAUAUUGCACAAUGGGCGCAAGCCUGAUGCAGCCAUGCCGCGUGUAUGAAGAAGGACCUUCGGGUUGUAAAGUACUUUCAGCAGUGAGGAAGGUGGGUAUGUUAAUAGCAUAUUCAUUUGACGUUAGCUGCAGAAGAAAGCACCGGCUAACUCCGUGCCAGCAGCCGCGGUAAUACGGAGGGUGCGAGCGUUAAUCGGAAUUACUGGGCGUAAAGCGCAUGCAGGUGGUUUGUUAAGUCAGAUGUGAAAGCCCGGGGCUCAACCUCGGAAUUGCAUUUGAAACUGGCAAACUAGAGUACUGUAGAGGGGGGUAGGAACCCCCCCCCCUUUNAGGUGUAGCGGUGAAAUGCGUAGAGAUCUGAAGGAAUACCGGUGGCGAAGGCGGCCCCCUGGACAGAUACUGACACUCAGAUGCGAAAGCGUGGGGAGCAAACAGGAUUAGAUACCCUGGUAG
Molecule: ribosomal RNA, 454 nt
Filed under: uncultured bacterium
Lineage: Bacteria
Description: bacterial SSU rRNA
Rfam family: Bacterial small subunit ribosomal RNA
Source: RNAcentral